UUGUUACUCCCUCCAUCCGGACUUACUUGUUACAAAAAAUGAUAAACAUGGAUGUAUUUAGAACUAAAACAUGUCUAGAUACAUCUAUUUAUACGACAAUUAUUUCUGGAUGGAGGGAGUAGGUG
This is a non-coding RNA of Triticum aestivum (bread wheat), 125 nucleotides long. The record is from Rfam. Lineage: Eukaryota; Viridiplantae; Streptophyta; Magnoliopsida; Poales; Poaceae.